GAUGAACGCUGGCGGCGUGCCUAAUACAUGCAAGUCGAGCGGACAGACGAGGAGCUUGCUGCUCUGACGUUAGCGGCGGACGUGUGAGUAACACGUGGAUCACCUCCCUAUAAUACUGGUAUAACUUCGGGAAACCGGAUCUAAUACCGGAUGAUAUAUUGAACCGCAUGGUUCGAUAGUGAAAUACGGUCUUGCUGUCACUUAUAGAUGGAUCCGCGCUGCAUGAGCUAGUUGGUAAGGUAACGGCCUACCAAGGCGACGAGGCGUAGCCGGCCUCAGAGGCUGAUCGCCCACCUUGGAACUGAGACACGGUCCAGACUACUACGGGAGGCAGCAGUAGGGAAUGUUCCGCAAUGGGCGAGAGUCUGACGGAGCAACGCCGAGUGAGUGAUGAAGGUGUUCGGUUCGUAAAAAUCUGUUAUUAGGGAAGAACAGAUGUCGAAGUAACUGUGCACGUCUUGACGGUAACUAAUAAGAAAGCAACGGCUAACUACGUG
This 497-nucleotide ribosomal RNA is filed under the name uncultured bacterium. Its description in RNAcentral is "partial 16S ribosomal RNA". It matches the Rfam family "Bacterial small subunit ribosomal RNA", at positions 28 to 507 of the family's 1533-position model. The record is from RNAcentral.